This 567-nucleotide ribosomal RNA is filed under the name Orbilia alnea. Its description in RNAcentral is "5.8S ribosomal RNA". The stretch from base 184 to 337 matches the Rfam family "5.8S ribosomal RNA". Lineage: Eukaryota; Fungi; Ascomycota; Orbiliomycetes; Orbiliales; Orbiliaceae. The record is from RNAcentral.
GAUCAUUAAUAAGAAAAGGCUUUGCGCCGGGCCCGUCCCGGACAGAGUUCAACCCUUUGUGAAAAACAACCUUCUUUUCGCUUCGGCAGCUCGCGCUCGCGCGGUCAGCCUGCCGGCAGCACCAAAAAUAUCAACCUGUCUCUGUAGAUAAUGUCUGACCAUUCUGAAUUGAAUGAAAAUCAAAACUUUCAACAACGGAUCUCUUGGUUCCCGCAUCGAUGAAGAACGCAGCGAAACGCGAUAGUUAAUGUGAAUUGCAGAAUUCAGUGAAUCAUCGAGUCUUUGAACGCACAUUGCGCCCGUCGGCAUUCCGACGGGCACGUCUGUCUGAGCGUCAUGUCAAAUCUCUGCUGGCCUGGGUUUGCGCCCGGUCAACCGGUACUGAGCUGCGGUCUCCCAACCGGAACCGCGCUUUAAAGUGGCACGCUCUGCGGGUCUGACCGCUUCGAGAACAUAGUAUAAUGCUAUCUGUUCCAGGAGCCGGCUCAGGCAACCGCCUGAACAAAUCUUCUAUUAGGUUUGACCUCAGAUCAGACGAGGAUACCCGCUGAACUUAAGCAUAUCAUA